UCAGUUUUGCAACCCUGUGAGCACAGUCCAUCAGCAAAUUUUUGGUUAGAAAGUCCUGGACUAGAGUUUUGAAGUAUCCCAUCAGGAAUUCCAUGAUAUAAGCUUGCUGUAUAUUUUCCGGUAUACCUCGCAGCCUAAUAUUGUGUCUGCGGGAUCUGUCUUCAGGAUCCAUCAGCUUUACUUGGUAGCUACCACAGGCGAGGGGCUGUUGCCGAAGAAAUGCACCUUUAUCCGGUAAUCUACUACAUCCUUGUUGACAUUGUUGUCUUUGUGCCAGAGUAACCUGAGGUAGCUGCUAUCGUCUUUUUUGACAAUAAAAC
Pelobates cultripes (western spadefoot toad) is the source of this 320-nucleotide non-coding RNA. NCBI's taxonomy places the organism in Eukaryota, Metazoa, Chordata, Amphibia, Anura, Pelobatidae. The record is from the annotation of a GenBank genome assembly.